GUUUGAUCAUGGCUCAGAUUGAACGCUGGCGGCAGGCCUAACACAUGCAAGUCGAACGGUAACAGGAAGCAGCUUGCUGCUUUGCUGACGAGUGGCGGACGGGUGAGUAAUGUCUGGGAAACUGCCUGAUGGAGGGGGAUAACUACUGGAAACGGUGGCUAAUACCGCAUAACGUCGCAAGACCAAAGAGGGGGACCUUCGGGCCUCUUGCCAUCAGAUGUGCCCAGAUGGGAUUAGCUUGUUGGUGAGGUAACGGCUCACCAAGGCGACGAUCCCUAGCUGGUCUGAGAGGAUGACCAGCCACACUGGAACUGAGACACGGUCCAGACUCCUACGGGAGGCAGCAGUGGGGAAUAUUGCACAAUGGGCGCAAGCCUGAUGCAGCCAUGCCGCGUGUAUGAAGAAGGCCUUCGGGUUGUAAAGUACUUUCAGCGGGGAGG
Molecule: ribosomal RNA, 440 nt
Filed under: Salmonella enterica
Lineage: Bacteria; Pseudomonadati; Pseudomonadota; Gammaproteobacteria; Enterobacterales; Enterobacteriaceae
Description: bacterial SSU rRNA
Rfam family: Bacterial small subunit ribosomal RNA
Source: RNAcentral